RNAcentral lists this ribosomal RNA (578 nucleotides) under uncultured bacterium. Its description in RNAcentral is "partial 16S ribosomal RNA". It matches the Rfam family "Bacterial small subunit ribosomal RNA", at positions 355 to 932 of the family's 1533-position model. The record is from RNAcentral.
UGGGGAAUUUUGGACAAUGGGCGAAAGCCUGAUCCAGCAAUGCCGCGUGUGUGAAGAAGGCCUUCGGGUUGUAAAGCACUUUUGUCCGGAAAGAAAUCCUUGGCUCUAAUACAGUCGGGGGAUGACGGUACCGGAAGAAUAAGCACCGGCUAACUACGUGCCAGCAGCCGCGGUAAUACGUAGGGUGCAAGCGUUAAUCGGAAUUACUGGGCGUAAAGCGUGCGCAGGCGGUUUGCUAAGACCGAUGUGAAAUCCCCGGGCUCAACCUGGGAACUGCAUUGGUGACUGGCAGGCUAGAGUAUGGCAGAGGGGGGUAGAAUUCCACGUGUAGCAGUGAAAUGCGUAGAGAUGUGGAGGAAUACCGAUGGCGAAGGCAGCCCCCUGGGCCAAUACUGACGCUCAUGCACGAAAGCGUGGGGAGCAAACAGGAUUAGAUACCCUGGUAGUCCACGCCCUAAACGAUGUCAACUAGUUGUUGGGGACUCAUUUCUUAGUAACGUAGCUAACGCGUGAAGUUGACCGCCUGGGGAAUACGGUCGCAAGAUUAAAACUUAAAUGAAUUGACGGGGUCAUAGCUG